AGUUGGCAUUGAUACAUUGUUCAGAAUCUUUCUAAAAACCUCCGUUCUUUUUCCGACCCCAGUGACCGCUAAUUGUGGAAAACAAUGUACUGGACUAUUCAAGAAAGAAAUAUUUUGCCUGUUCAUCGACUCAGCCAAUAAGGUUUUCUUCAGUGUCGAAAUUGGUAUGGAGACGUGGAUGGAGAUUUGAGUCUUAGGAAUUUGGGAAGAGCUCAAGUGAUUCAGAAUGAAAAGACCUUGGCACAGACCUGUUAAGGAAGCUCCAUAUAAGGUGAAGAAAACAACAUGCUCAGCCAUGUCCUUGCCUUCUGCACACGGUAGUGCAUUCACUGCCUGAGAAUUCAAGGCUAAAACAAAAAGAGGAGCUUUUGUUCCAACAGAUAAGUACUUACCUUUUUCAAAAAAUGCAUAAGCUGUCCUGGGUGUUUAGCAGUUAUUCGCACAGCUUUCCAAAGACUCACAGCAUUUAAAAGCUAACUCUACAGAGAUUCAACAGCUUCUUCCAGAUCCCACCACAGUGGAAAAGAACUCCGGUGUCCUGGCUCCCUGUCCAGCUCUUCUCUCUCCCCUUCCAGCUGCCAGUUCAGCUUUAAGAAGUUCAUUCUCCACAUUCAGAUGCAGGCAAAUGCGUUUGACUUGAGCAUAUUGAUUUCAGGCAGGUGAGAGUGGAUGUAGCGAUUCAGCUUGACAAAUAUUUAGAUCAGUUAAGUGUCCUUUAUAAAGAAGCACUUGAACUCAGUGUUUCCUUUACCCGACCAUUUCACUCCACAAGCUACCUCCCCAGCAUAAAAUAUUCAAAUUAUUUCUAAAUUUCAUCUACUGAAAAAAUACUUCUAGGCCCUAUAGCUACAUGAUAUCUCCACUGGGAGCCCUGUCCUUUCCAUGCCCUGGGAAAACCCGAUCUAAAGCAGAUUUAAAUGACUCAGCAGUAGGACUCAGGUCUCUGUCUCUGCCUGCUUACUUGGGGAGUGCUCCAGCCUUAGGGGCUCUCUUGCACUCCAACAUAGGAAAGAAAUUAUCGAUGGCUCCAUUCCCCAGCAUUUGAGACUUUUCUUCCCACAGACACAUUCCUGAGGACACCAGUCAUGGGUAAAGAACUCCACUGGGGUCAGCGUUGGAUCCCACUAGGCAGUUUAGGACUUGUAAGUAGAGUAGUGUGGACUUGGUGUUCCCAGAGCCUCUCACUCAUGAUUCAUGGCUCUCCACCCCAAGCAUCGGAACUUGCCCAACUUCACCACAGAAGGAAACAGACUGUAAGCUUGGAGGGCCAGGGAGGAAACCGGAGGCAUGUGUGGGAGGAUUAGAAACAUGAAAAGAUAUUUACAGUAAGGUUCGCUUGUCAUCCUCUUGAACUGGGGGUGCAUAGAGUACAAUAAGACCCCAUGUGAGUAUGUUAGAUGAUAAGGCUCAGGUUGGAUGGGUGUGUAGAGUAAAGGCUUUGCAUCACCUUUGCCAGGGUGAGGGAAGGCUAUGGAUAGCACAGGGGACCUUGAUGAUCGGGUGAGGGAGCCCAUGUGGACAUAGUGGUCACCAGCUACUUCCUAGUUCUCUACAUGGGAGAAAGAGCCCUUCUCUGUAAUCAUGGAAGCUCAAGUUCUUGGUGGUUCAGAGGUUAGAGACCUCUGAUUACUAGGACAGAGCAGAAUAGCAGGGCUGGUCCUGGUAGAUCAGACAUCUCAUGACAUCCUUUAAAAGGGACUAGAAUAUUCAGAACUCCGGUGUAACUAAAUGAUCCUCAAGCUUUACCAGCAGGUGAGCAAGGUCCCAUUGUAUUUGGUACUCACAUCCCCACCAAUUCUGUAAAAGUUUGCCAACUUUCCCCUCCAUCCCCUGCACCCUUUCACCAAAAGAUAUGCCUAAGAGUUCCCAAGAGACGUCUAACAUAGGCCUGCAUGUCAGCCCAGUCUUCUGGGCUGAGCUGCUGCACUGUUGCUGGCCUUGAUGGCUGAACCUGAUCUCUGUUGUGGCACCCACCACUCUUUCUCAAGCCUUGACACCUUGGCAGGCUUUGGCAAAAAGAGGAGAGCUGUUCUUCCUCGGCAUUAUGUUCACUUAGCAGGGUCCCACAGCAGGAUUGCUUGGACCCCAGAGUAUUGUAGGGCUUAAUAAGACCAGCCCUUUCAUCUCACACGCUCUAUCCUUUCUCUCACUGGUGCACCCACGUCAGGUGUCUUGAGUGGGGAGUGCUCGAAUAUCUGCCACCAGCUUGAGUCAGAACCUCGACUUCCCUCAGCUUUUCAGGGUCUGUUACUGAGUCUGGUCCACACUCCAGGGUCUUUUCCUCACGGUCUGGGUCUGGUCUUUUUCAGGUGCCUACCUUUCCUCCCUGCAAACUGCCUUGAGUUGCCUCCCCUUCUCCCUUCCUUCCUGGUCUGUCAGAGACAUCUUGUCUGGGUGCAUAUUUGAACCCCAUCAGUAGACAGAAAACAUGUAUUUCCUUGAAGGCCCCUCAGACCCCAGGUACAAACAUUGAAGUAAAUAACAGCAGGGAUGGGGGUUCUGCCUCGCUUCACCUGCCAGCCACGUGCAGACCUUGUUUCAGUCCAACUGAGACUUUAGCAAGUGCUUCAUUCUGGUUUGUGAAUGGCUUCCCAGUGUCUGUCACUGUGUUCACAGGGCCACCGGGGUUGGCUGAGUCAGAAUACCAGCCAUGUGGCAUGUCGCAUGGGGCAAGAGCUGUGCUGCCCAUGGGAGUCCAGAGAAGGAGCACACUAAGGACCAACACCAGAGAGAAGACAGCUGUCUGCAAACCAGAAAGAGAGUCCUCACUGCACUUCAUAUCUGCCAAUGGAUCCUUGCUCUUGAACCUCCCAACCUGCAGAAUCAUGAGAAACAAACAUUGUGUAAGCCACCCACUCUACAGUAAUUUGUUCUAGCAGACCGAGCUGACUGAGGUAUGGUCUCAUCACGUAAC
RNAcentral lists this long non-coding RNA (2914 nucleotides) under Homo sapiens (human). RNAcentral's name for it is "non-protein coding lnc-KLF7-1:35". The record is from RNAcentral. Lineage: Eukaryota; Metazoa; Chordata; Mammalia; Primates; Hominidae.